AAACUUAGGCAGCCCUUUAUCCUCACCCCCGCUGCCCGCCCGGGAACUACGAGCACUAGCUUAAAACCCAAAGGACUUGGCGGUGCUUAAGAUCCACCUAGAGGAGCCUGUUCUUUAACCGAUAUUCCCCGUUCAACCUCACCCUCUCUUGCCCUCCGCCUAUAUACCGCCGUCGUCAGUUUACCCUGUGAAGGAAUAAUAGUUAACAAAACCAGCAAAGCUUAAAACGUCAGGUCGAGGUGUAGCUUAUGAGAGGGGCAGAAAUGGGCUACAUUCUCUGCAACAGAGCACACGAAAAA
RNAcentral lists this ribosomal RNA (299 nucleotides) under Alabes scotti. RNAcentral's name for it is "partial 12S ribosomal RNA". It matches the Rfam family "Bacterial small subunit ribosomal RNA", at positions 801 to 1255 of the family's 1533-position model. Lineage: Eukaryota; Metazoa; Chordata; Actinopteri; Blenniiformes; Gobiesocidae. The record is from RNAcentral.